GCAGUUUGAUCUCAGACUGCUGUGCUAGCAAUCAGCGAGACUCCCUGGGCGUAGGACCCUCCGAGCCAGGUGUGGGAAAUAAUCUCCUGGUGCACCGUUUCCUAAGCCCGUCGGAAAAGCGCAGUAUUUGGGUGGGAGUGGCCCGAUUUUCCAGGUGCCCUCCUUUCCUUGACCAGGAAAGGGAACUCCCUGACCCCUUACGCUUCCCAAGUGAGGCAAUGCCUCGCCCUGCUUCGGCUGGCGCACGGUGCCCUGCACCCACUGUCUGGCACUCCCUAGUGAGAUGAACCCGGUACCUCAGAUGGAAAUGCAGAAAUCACCCAUCUUCUGCGUGGCUCAUGCUGGGAGCUGUAGACCAGAGCUGUUCCUAUUCAGCCAUCUUGGCUCCCGGAUCCAGUUUAACUUUUGCAGAGAGACAAGAUCUCUCUCCAUUGCCAACACUGGUCUCAAACUCCUGGCCUCAAGCAAUCAUCCAACCUCAGCCUUCUGAGUACCGGGAUUACAAGUGCGAGCCACUGUGCCCAGCUCCUGUUUCUACUUUCUUAAGUGAACCUGAGGAAUACCACAAAUGUGAGCAUGGCUGGAUCUUUUGAAUUAAAAUCCACACUGGGAAAGAAAUAGACCUUGAACAUCUUGCCAAAGGCAAACCACUUCAAUAGAACAUGGCUGGCGGCCAUAUGGACAUAUUUGAAUCCAACAAUUAAUUCAGCAAAGAAAGCUGCUUGUGGCAAGUUUUGAAUGUGCCAUUCCAGGUAGUGCUUUGAUGAUAAAUGAGGAGAAGAUUGCAAAGAAAAUGACAGCAACAUUUAUAAAAGGAAAACUGAGGCAUAGAACAUUUGGGAAUGAAUCUAAGACUACACAUCUAGAAUAGCAGAGGAAGGCAAUGUAUCGCAUCCUGUAUUACCUUCCCCUGACCUCAUAGCUUCCCAAAACAGGAACAAUCAUGGGCUUUGAAGUUACAGGAAUGCAGAUGUGAUUCCUAUGGAUGAGGGUAACCUAGAGGCUAGAAGAACAAUAGGACAGAAGAAGCCUGGGUCCCUGAACAACCUUGUGGAGCAUAGACACCUACGUGGCCUGGACUGCCAGCUCACAAUGGGCCUCUCUGUGAGAGAAGGAAACUUCCCUCUUGUUUAAGCAACUGUGCUUUUGAGAAUCUCUUGGUCUAUACCCUAAUGAAUAAGGCCAUCAUAAAUGGAUAUCAAAGUAAGGAAAUUUGUGUAAAUGAUUUAAUAAAACAUUACCUCAGGUAUGAAAUAAUUCUACCUUGUGCCUUGACAACAUCAGGUAUUAUUCAUGCCCUUUUCUCUCCCUGUAAUGUCUCUUAUCCACGGGUAGAAAUUAUAUUUUCCAUCUAAGGUUUGCUCAAAUAUUAUCUACUUAAGUAGCUCUUACCAAUUUUGCCUCUCCUCCUGAGCUGACCCUAUGCCUUCUAUGCUGUUCCAGGUAAUAUUAAUCUCUUCCUUUGUACUUCUUUCACAGAACAUACUUUUUUGUCUAACAUAAUAACUAUAGGCAUAAGUGUAUAGAUUCCACUAGGGGCUUCAGAACAGAAACUAUCAUCUUAUUAAUUUUUUUCUCCCUGAUAUCUAGGGAAAUAUGUUAUAUAUAAUAGGCCCUUAGUAAUCCCAUAAAUGUUUGUGAGAUAUUCACUGACUAUAAGCCAUACUCUGUAUUUAUUUAGCUAAAACAGACGUCUUUCAUAUUUAGUUAGCAGAAAAUGCUCACAUUUACUCCUUUCCUGUUUACCAAAUGAAAGGGUAAUUGUUUUUUCACAGAUUGCACUAGAAAAGUGUCUUCUCUCUCUUUUUCAAAUAGAUUGUCUUUAAAACAUAUGACAGGAAAAGUGACUAUUGUUAGGAUAAGAUAAUUACGAUUGUAACAGCUAGUUUAAAAGAAGUGUCAGUUGCUCCUGUUUUAUUUUUCACAGGAUAGAGCUGCGGCCUGUCUCAGUAUGAUGUUUUCAGGAUCUGGUAUAUAUUUUUAUUUUCCUACAUGAAUCUUUCAUCCUUUUACUGACAUUUAUUCAUUUUAUCUAAUUAUCCUAAAAGGAAAGCUCUGGCCAGGCAAAUUGGUUGUUGUCUGCCUCUGAAGAGACAUUCAUAUCGCGUCGCUUAGCUUUCAAGUUUUGUGAUCAGGAACCCUCAGGCCCAUUUUUAAGGAGGUUUCAGGCUAGCUGAGCUUCACUGUCUCCCAAAAUGUACAAAAUGAGAUUACAUGAGGGACAAGAUCAAUUUACUGGAAGGUACUUAAGCAGUAAAUCUGGAGCUUUUUGUCCAGUCACUAUUGCUUUCAAGCUUUGUAGCAGAAAAUUAAGCCACAAGAGCUUUGACAAAUUAGAUAUUACUACCUCUAAUUGUGUAUGUUUAAGCUUAUCACACUGAAUUGCAGCAUUGUAACUGACUAUUAUGCCAACAAGGCCUUCGUUUAAUCAGCGCAGUGCCAUUUAAUCGCAAUUAAUCACUCAACUAAAAUGUCAUAUUAAGGUCACAGAAACUUGAAGGGCUAAAAGAAAAGAGAACAUUAAAGUCAGCUGAUGGAGGAAAAGAGCAUGGUGUGCCAAGGGAAGUUCUGAGCACUCUUUUUCAUUAGAAGCUGGUAGAACAUUUAAUGAGAAUUCAGUCUUAACUUUCAGCUGAGAUCAGAACAACGUGCC
Molecule: long non-coding RNA, 2653 nt
Filed under: Homo sapiens (human)
Lineage: Eukaryota; Metazoa; Chordata; Mammalia; Primates; Hominidae
Description: HSALNT0081011
Source: RNAcentral